Molecule: long non-coding RNA, 3599 nt
Organism: Glycine soja
Lineage: Eukaryota; Viridiplantae; Streptophyta; Magnoliopsida; Fabales; Fabaceae
Exons: 2
Source: RefSeq, a predicted model, not a curated record
CAUCAGUCAUCUCCUCCCACAGGAACCCUAAAUCUGAAACUACCUUGACUCCCUGCCACGGUUGAGAAAAUAGCGACGCGGAUACACACUCGUCUUCACGAUCCAGCGAUUCUACUCUCCGAUGAGUCUUUGCAGGGUGAAGAAUCGCGAGUCCAGCCGCCGGUGAAGAAUCACGCGAUUCGUCUGGAAAUCGCGAUUCAUCCCUGAUACAGAGAUUCAAGCACGAUUCAGGAACAAAAACGAGACAACCUCCGAUUCGUAUCGGUAGCAGCUGGAAUCGUAUCGAAUCCUGUGAUACGUAUCGUGAAUUGUACAAUACUAACUAUCAUGAUUUAGGCUAGUGCUGGAGCUUAUUUGACUAGGUUAUAUAAUGUUGUUAAAUAGCUGCCAAGUGCUACUGCAUUGCCGAAUUUCUUGAAUUCGCAAUCACCACUUCGUCAACUAUUGCGGUCGCUAUGGGUGUCGUGGGUACAGAAAGCGUCCUGCAUCCUCUUGUCAUCUUUGGCGAGUCUCCAGCCAAUUGAACUUUUGAGCUAAUAUCUCAAUAUUUACCUAUUUUAUUUUCAUUUGCAUACAACUUAAUUCGUUGUACAUAUAUAAUUGAUAUAUAUCAUGUUUGAUGUUUCAAGUUUUCAACUGCUAUGGGACUUUUGCUAUUUGUCCGUGACGCUAUCCGCUAUAUGAUAUGGCAGAUCAUUGGCUUUCCGCCACUUUCUGCAAUCCGCAGUUGAUAAUACUGGGUUAUAUGCAUGUAUUUACAAGUCGAAGCUCAUUUUUCUUUGUUUGAUGUUUGUUUCCUGGCUGCAAUCAUGAUUAUGUUCUAUGUAUAUCUUCAGUUGUAUAUUUUGGAUUUGAGAACCUUUUGUUUUGUUGGAAAGCCAACACACAAAACAUUAAAUCAUAAUGCCGAUGUGUUUUUUUUUUUUUUACAUAUAGAAUUUGGAUAUUACUACAUAUAAGAACAGAAAAUAAAUAAAUACAAAAAAAAUUCAGUUUCUGUAUACUGUACAUGAAUUUGUCUGUGAAUAUCUUUCAGUGUAGGUAUCCUUCUUCUCAUGAGCAGUGAUGCUGCCAAGACAUGUUCAAACUAUUGGUAGUCUCCUUGAGAGAGUUAUGCAAGUUCAUGUUGUGCAGCUCGGAGGUAUAAAUACACAUGUCGACUUGUAAUGAGCUGCCAAGAAAGCUCAACAAGUCUGAGAGGAAACCACCUGUGACAAGUUUUAAUGAUCUUAAGCGUCAAGCUAGACUGAAGAAAAAGGAGAGGCAAAAGGUACAUGAGAAUACAUUACAACCUCCUGAAAAUGGUUUAUUGGUUGAUCAUUUAAUUCCUAUUGCUCAUGAAGUAUAUGCUGCCAGAUGUGAACUAAUAUCUAGUGUUUCAACACUUGUCAACUACACUGCUAUUUAUACAUGCAGGUCACACCAUAACUCCAGUAUUCUUCAUUGUGGUUGUUCAAGCUUUUAGCAUGUUGCCUGUAGAUCUUCUAUUCAACUAUGAUAUCUGAUUCAGAUCUGACUUUCUAUCAAAAGUCUUUUCUUUCUAUUUGUUAUCUUGUAUUUUUGGAAUGAACUUGUACUUUUAACUUGUCAAGUAAGUGAUUGAAUAUGAUUUUUCAUUGUGGGUUUUAAAUGGUUUCUUAAUGCAAAAACUGAACAGGAUCUAUUUGAAAUGAAUAAUGUAAACAUGUCUCGUAACUUGGGCUUUUCUUUAUAUGCAUAAUUUUUUAAGCUUUGGAUGCUUUGCAGCUUAUGUGGAGAAGUUCAUGUUGGUCAUGCACCACAUAAAAUUAGAACAUGCGAUGUUAGAGGAAGCCCAUCAAGCAAAGAACAUAGUUGGGCCAAAGUUGGUGUUGAACAUGUUCUGCCACUUGUAGAUUCAUUUCAUCUGUAUGAUAGAAUAGGGAGGGCUGUUUCACACAAUGAAAUGCUUGAAGUGGACCGAAUUCCAGCAAUUGUUGAAUUGUGUGUCCAAGCAGGUAUUAAUAUACCUGAGUACCCUACCAGGAGAAGGUCCUUCCCCUGUUUACACUGUUGCUGGUAGGAUUAUUGAUUUUGAGAAAAGAUUUCCAAAAGAAAUUUCUCUUGGCGAAGAUAUAGAAGCACAUGGGUUUUGGUUAAUGGAUGUAAACACAAAUUCUAUGGCAAUGCAAUCUGACGAUAUCCAAGGUUUAUGAAAACACACACAUUCUUUCCUUUGUUAACUGUGCUGACUAUGUGAAUGCAUUUGUGCAGCUACUGCUGUUCGAGGCAUGAAAGCCUGGGAAAAAAUGCGUGGAGGAGCUUCAAAACUUAUGGGGAAGUAUGCUGUCCAAACUUGUGGAUAUUAUCCAGAGGUGCAAGUGGGACCCAAAGGUCAUAGAGUACGAAAUUGUCAAGCUUUCAAACACCAGAUAAGGGAUGGGCAACGUGCAUGGUAGGGGGCAACAAUUGAUGAUUUGGCACCUCCAGUAUAUGUCUAUCACAUCCGAGAUGAUCAACAUAGGAAGCCUUUGGUAAAUGAGUUGAAAAGGUACUAUGGUAUGCUGCCUGCAGUGGUUGAGCUAUUUGCCCAGGCUGGGGCACCAGUUGAUAAGAAUUAUGCUUCUAUGAUGAGGGAAGAUGUCGUAAUCCCUGAAAUGGAUGAGGAAAAGUUGGUUGUUUAAAGCAAUGGUUUGAUUGACUUCAUAUGCAUGGAAGAGGCAUUUGGGCAAUGGAAGAGUCUAAAUAUGAAAAAUUUAAGGUUUAAUUUCUUUCAAAUUAUAACAGGUUGUAUUUGUAUAUAUGCUAAGAUAGAGGACCUGUCUAAUGUUGGUAAUUAGACAUAUAAUAGGAUGAAACAAGAGCAUUGGGCCACUAAACUAUCUCAUGUUCUAUUGGCAAUAUAAGGUUGCAGUAUUGAUUAUAUGGAACAAAUUUACUUUUGGCACUCACUGCAUCAUCACCUAAUUUAGUUAUAGAUGAAAAAAGACUUGGAUUUCUUGCUGGGAUUCCUUUGAGAACAACUCUUCAUCCCUCUACCGAUCUCAUUCAUCACCUAAUUUAGUUAUAGUCUGAUCUGCUUUUAUGCAAUAUUUUGUAUUGGUAGUAUAAUUUCCUGUUACUAAAACCAAAGAAAACUUUAGCCCACAAGGUUAAUUUAGUAUCUUCUGGAAUACAAGAGGCAGAGGGAUGGUCGACAAUGCACUAGAUAAGGUGGAAAAAGUGUUUUACUUGCCAAGCAUAUUAGGAAGAGGAAGAAAGUGUAAAAGGAACUUCAAAAAUUGGCAACAGUAAAGUAGUUCCUGUGCUCGAGCUCUAUCAGAUUUUCAGAACAGGUUGUGGCUGGGUUCUUCAGUGUUCCACUUCCAAAUCCUUGUUCAGCUGGUGCAUCAGAAUAUUCUUCGAGACUUCAUAGAACAGUUGGGAGUUGGGUGCCUUGAACGAUAGAUUGUUGUUGCUUAAUUAAAACAAAUUGUAUCAUCUACAUAUAUCCUACAGUCUUGUAAUAUAUAUUAUCAUCUCGACCUUAACACUUUGUUAAUAAUUAUAACCAUGUGUGUUUGUAUUCCCAGUUAGAGACAACGAACACCAAUUCAACAUUUCCUUUCCUUUUCUUUGCCUUGAAAAGUGAAAUUCUCCAA